UUUUUUCCUCAAAUCAAGUAGGACUACCCGCUGAACUUAAGCAUAUCAAUAAGCGGAGGAAAAGAAACCAACAGGGAUUGCCUCAGUAACGGCGAGUGAAGCGGCAAAAGCUCAAAUUUGAAAUCCCCCCGGGGAGUUGUAAUUUGAAGAUUGCGUCUUGGAGGCGACCGUGUCUAUGUUCCUUGGAACAGGACGUCACAGAGGGUGAGAAUCCCGUGCGGCACGGCCCCCGGCUCCUUAUAAGGCGCUCUCGACGAGUCGAGUUG
Molecule: ribosomal RNA, 266 nt
Filed under: Kodamaea ohmeri
Lineage: Eukaryota; Fungi; Ascomycota; Pichiomycetes; Serinales; Debaryomycetaceae
Description: partial 28S ribosomal RNA
Rfam family: Eukaryotic large subunit ribosomal RNA
Source: RNAcentral